UCCGACAGUGGGACAAACCAUUGCACCAGAUUCACCAGAUCUAGGUAUCACCUGUAGCAACUGACUUGGACAAGAUCCUGAUCUGCGAUUGUCGCCCCAUCCCCCAAUACAAUUUAUUAGAGAAACAUUUCAGCGUGCAAUUUAUGUCAUGCUGCGCAAAGCAUGAUGUUAAAAUAAACGUUUACAUUAUUUGGUUGCUCGCCACUUUCUACAUGUGCGCAUAGAUAUGGCGAUGCCGAUCAUGCAACAAUCUCAGCAACAAAAAAGUAGCGCUUUUAGUAAACAUCAAAAUACUUUGACAAACAUUCAUUAUAUGCGCAUGUCAAAAUUGUGCGAUAAUAUUAUAAUAUAAAUUAUGCACAUACGUACAUGUAUCAGUGAAAACGUGAUAAUAAAAUUACUCACCGAACGUGAAUCGGAUUGACGGAAUUACCGUCGUCGAAUACAGGAUUAUCCAUGGAAUAUGUUGCUGGUGGAGGUG
This is a long non-coding RNA of Cataglyphis hispanica, 481 nucleotides long. RefSeq lists it as uncharacterized. The transcript has 3 exons. NCBI's taxonomy places the organism in Eukaryota, Metazoa, Arthropoda, Insecta, Hymenoptera, Formicidae. The record is from RefSeq and is a predicted model, not a curated record.